GACGAACCGAGCGAACGUUGUUCGGAAUCACUGGGCUUAAAGGGUGCGUAGGUGGGCUGGUAAGUCAGUGGUGAAAUCCCCGAGCUUAACUUGGGAACUGCCAUUGAUACUAUCAGUCUUGAAUACCGUGGAGGUCAGCGGAAUAUGUCAUGUAGCGGUGAAAUGCUUAGAUAUGACAUAGAACACCAAUUGCGAAGGCAGCUGGCUACACGAAUAUUGACACUGAGGCACGAAAGCGUGGGGAUCAAACAGG
This 253-nucleotide ribosomal RNA is filed under the name uncultured bacterium. RNAcentral describes it as "partial 16S ribosomal RNA". It matches the Rfam family "Bacterial small subunit ribosomal RNA", at positions 524 to 776 of the family's 1533-position model. The record is from RNAcentral.